CUUUGUUGCCAGCGAUUAGGUCGGGAACUCAAAGGAGACUGCCAGUGAUAAACUGGAGGAAGGUGGGGAUGACGUCAAGUCAUCAUGGCCCUUACGACCAGGGCUACACACGUGCUACAAUGGCGCAUACAAAGAGAAGCGACCUCGCGAGAGCAAGCGGACCUCAUAAAGUGCGUCGUAGUCCGGAUUGGAGUCUGCAACUCGACUCCAUGAAGUCGGAAUCGCUAGUAAUCGUGGAUCAGAAUGCCACGGUGAAUACGUUCCCGGGCCUUGUACACACCGCCCGUCACACCAUGGGAGUGGGUUGCAAAAGAAGUAGGUAGCUUAACCUUCGGGAGGGCGCUUACCACUUUGUGAUUCAUGACUGGGGUGAAGUCGUAACAAGGUAACCGUAGGGGAACCUGC
RNAcentral lists this ribosomal RNA (405 nucleotides) under Salmonella enterica subsp. enterica serovar Anatum. Its description in RNAcentral is "bacterial SSU rRNA". It matches the Rfam family "Bacterial small subunit ribosomal RNA", at positions 1110 to 1515 of the family's 1533-position model. RNAcentral also lists the same sequence under 8 other names. Lineage: Bacteria; Pseudomonadati; Pseudomonadota; Gammaproteobacteria; Enterobacterales; Enterobacteriaceae. The record is from RNAcentral.